Molecule: unclassified non-coding RNA, 332 nt
Filed under: soil metagenome
Description: partial contains 5.8S ribosomal RNA, internal transcribed spacer 2, and large subunit ribosomal RNA
Rfam family: 5.8S ribosomal RNA (bases 1-120)
Source: RNAcentral
GAUGAAGAACGUAGCGAAAUGCGAUAAGUAAUGUGAAUUGCAGAAUUCAGUGAAUCAUCGAAUCUUUGAACGCACAUUGCGCCCGCCAGUAUUCUGGCGGGCAUGCCUGUUCGAGCGUCAUUUCAACCAUCAAGCCCUGCUUGCGUUGGGGUCCUGCGGCUGCCCGCAGGCCCUGAAAACCAGUGGCGGGCUCGCUAGUCACACCGAGCGCAGUAAUACAUCUCGCUUUGGGCGUGCGGCGGGUUCUUGCCGUUAAACACCCCCUUUUUACCAAGGUUGACCUCGGAUCAGGUAGGAAUACCCGCUACUUAAGCAUAUCAAUAAGCGGAGGA